GUUACCCUACUGUGCGCGUAGGCGCGCUGGCUGUUUGCUUCCAACAAAGCAAACUUGGGAGCCUGGUCUCUAUCACCGGCAUGUGGGCCGCUUCAUGCGGAACGUUAACGUGAUAGGAGGGCGCCCACCUCGCAGGGGCGGGGAGAAACGGCCAGCCCUACGGCAUGGUGGGGUCCUU
RNAcentral lists this non-coding RNA (178 nucleotides) under Bacillota bacterium. RNAcentral's name for it is "6S RNA". It matches the Rfam family "6S / SsrS RNA". Rfam says of the family: E. coli 6S RNA was the first non coding RNA to be sequenced, but its function was unknown until recently. It consists of 184 nucleotides that fold into an extended hairpin structure with a large single-stranded internal bulge. The 6S RNA specifically associates with RNA polymerase holoenzyme containing the sigma70 specificity factor. Lineage: Bacteria; Bacillati; Bacillota. The record is from RNAcentral.